This is a small nuclear RNA of Xyrauchen texanus (razorback sucker), 142 nucleotides long. RefSeq annotates it as U4 spliceosomal RNA. Lineage: Eukaryota; Metazoa; Chordata; Actinopteri; Cypriniformes; Catostomidae. The transcript has a single exon. The record is from RefSeq and is a predicted model, not a curated record.
UUCUUUCAGCAGAGGCAAUAUCAGUAGCCUAUGAGGUUUAUCUGAGGCGUGAUCGUUGCUGGUUGAAAACUUUACCCAAUACCCUGCUGGGAUGACUUGUAAUACAGUCAGCCUUGGCAAUUUUUGAUAGUUUCUUCAGAGA